CAGCUCGUGUUGUGAGAUGUUGGGUUAAGUCCCGCAACGAGCGCAACCCUUAUCCUUAGUUGCCAGCACGUAAUGGUGGGAACUCUGGGGAGACUGCCGGUGAUAAACCGGAGGAAGGUGGGGACGACGUCAAGUCAUCAUGGCCCUUACGGGAUGGGCUACACACGUGCUACAAUGGCGCGUACAAAGGGAAGCAAGCUAGCGAUAGUGAGCGGAUCUCAAAAAGCGCGUCGUAGUCCGGAUCGGAGUCUGCAACUCGACUCCGUGAAGUCGGAAUCGCUAGU
RNAcentral lists this ribosomal RNA (284 nucleotides) under uncultured bacterium. RNAcentral's name for it is "partial 16S ribosomal RNA". It matches the Rfam family "Bacterial small subunit ribosomal RNA", at positions 1056 to 1339 of the family's 1533-position model. The record is from RNAcentral.